RNAcentral lists this ribosomal RNA (1740 nucleotides) under Ambystoma mexicanum (axolotl). Its description in RNAcentral is "SSU rRNA". It matches the Rfam family "Eukaryotic small subunit ribosomal RNA", at positions 3 to 1460 of the family's 1831-position model. The record is from RNAcentral. Lineage: Eukaryota; Metazoa; Chordata; Amphibia; Caudata; Ambystomatidae.
CCUUGUUGAUCCUGCCAGUAGCAUAUGCUUGUCUCAAAGAUUAAGCCAUGCACGUGUAAGUACACACGGCUGGUACAGUGAAACUGCGAAUGGUUCAUUCAUUAAAUCAGUUAGGGUUCCUUUGAUCGCUCCAUCUUUUAUUUGGAGAACUGUGGUAAUUCUAGAGCCAAUAUAUGCUGACAAGUGCUGACCUCCUGGGAUGUAUGCAUUUAUCAGACAGAGACCAAUCCGGGCUCGGCGGCCGCUUUAGUGACUUUGGGCCGAUCACACAUCCCUGUGACGGACAUGAUACUUACGGAUGUCUACCCUAUCAACUUUCAAUGGUAAUUUCUGUGCCUACCAUGGUGACCACGGGUAACAAGUAAUCAGGGUUCGAUUCCGAAAAAGGGAGCCUGAGAAACGGCUACCACAUCCAAGCAAGACAGCAGGCGUGCAAAUCACCCACUCCGACUUGGGGAGGUAGUGAUGAAAAAUAACAAUACAGGACUCUUGAGGCCCUGUAAUUGGAAUGAGUACACUAGAAAUCUUUUAAGGAGGAUGCGUUGGAGGGCAAGUCUGGUGCCACAAGCUGUGGUAAUUCCAGCUACAAUACCGUAUAUAUUUAUUGUUGCUGCAGUUAAAAAGCUCAUAUUUGGAUCUAGGGAUUGAGCUGGCGGUUCACCACAAGGCGAGCUACCGCCUGUCCCAGCCCCUGUGUCUCGGUGCCCCCUUGAUGCACUUGACUGAGUGUCCAGGGGUCCGAAGCGUUUACUUAGAGAAAAAAUUAAGAGUGUUCAAAGCAAGCCAGUCGCCAGAAUACUUCAGCUAGGAAUAGUGGAAUAGGAUUCUGGUUCUAUUUUGUUGGUUUUCGGAACUGGCUCAUGAUUAAAAGGGACAGCUGGGUGUAUCCGUAUUGUGCAGCUAGCGAUGAAAUUAUUGGAACGGCGCAAGAUGGACCAAAGUGAACGUAUUUGGCAAAAAUGUUUUCAUUAAUCAAAAACGAAAGUCGGAGGUUUGAAGAUAAUCAGAUACCAUCGUAGUUCCGACCAUAAACAAUGCCAACUAGCGAUCCGGUGGCAUUAUUCCCAUGACCGGCUCAGCAGCUUCCGGGAGACCAACGGGGUCAUUACGAGUUUGGGGGAGCUGUUAGCGCCAUGGCUGCCUCUAAACCUGGGUCCGGUCUGAUUGAAUGGGGACUUACCGGGUCAUUUCGACCUUGGAGGACCCAGUAAAUCCCCAUUCACUAAACCAUUCCCCAUACUCAUUUGAGCCCCCAUAGGGCUCAAUGGGAAUGGGGAAGGCGCUAAUAACGGACCCACAAAUUGUGGGCUUGUUAUUAGCUCCAAGGUCCCUUAACGGGACCCGCAGAGAACGGCUGGUCAGACCAGACGUUCCUGCUGGGACCCACUAAGGGACCUCGGAAUUGGGCGGUAAGGGUUUACCGGCACCGGCAUCUUUACUGGUGCCCAUAAACCCUUAACGCCCAACUCAGAAUGACCCCCCAAGUCUUUAGGUUCCGGGCAGAGUAUGGUUGCAAAGUGGAACGUAAAGAAUCUGAUGGCAGAGUACCACCAGGAUUGGAGCCUGCGCUUAAUUUGACUCAACAUGGGAAACCUCACUGGUCCCGGACACGGAAAGGAUGGACAGAUUUAUAGCUCUUUCUCGAUUCUGUGGGUCGUGGUGCAUGGCCACUCUUAGUUGGCAUUCAACUUCUUAGAGGGACAAGUGGCGUUCAGCCACACGACAUUGAGCAAUAACAGG